Salarias fasciatus (jewelled blenny) is the source of this 532-nucleotide long non-coding RNA. RefSeq lists it as uncharacterized. The record is from RefSeq and is a predicted model, not a curated record. Lineage: Eukaryota; Metazoa; Chordata; Actinopteri; Blenniiformes; Blenniidae. The transcript is spliced from 4 exons.
UAUCGUUGUUCAGUUGUGUUUUUUAGCAACAGUUUUAAUAUGUCUUGUAUUUUUUAUAAAUUCGGUGAGUUGUUAUCUUUGGCACUGGACGGUUGUUUGUUUAUACUUUCUGUUUCGCUGUUACCGUAAUGAGUAGAAUAUGUGCGCCCCGCUCAACAACGUGUCGUCUGGCUUGACUGCAGUCAGCAGUCCUCCGGAGCAGCGAGCUGCGUCUCCUUUAAAAAACAUUCUGCUCCUCUGGUGGAGAGAAGUUCGCUCCUCCAGCUUGUGGCGCACUUCACUUCACAAGUCUCUGUGUCUCCAGGAUCUCUGCUCCAUCUGACUGGUCCACCGGAAGAAAUGCAGCCUCUGGGUAAUUACGUCAUGCAACAAAGUAUCACCAUGGUGUUGUGAGCAAAGCACUGUGACUGAAGAUGUCUGGUGUGGAUGAAGAGGAGGACAGACCAGGUGUGGACAGGUUGUCUCAGAAGAGUAACCAGUCCAAUGAACCUCCACUAAACUUCAGUGAUGAACCUGGACCUUCAGACUCAAA